RNAcentral lists this ribosomal RNA (1026 nucleotides) under Triticum aestivum (bread wheat). RNAcentral's name for it is "partial small subunit ribosomal RNA". The record is from RNAcentral. Lineage: Eukaryota; Viridiplantae; Streptophyta; Magnoliopsida; Poales; Poaceae.
AUGUCCUCCUCCUCCUCCACCCCAGCCUUUCCGCCGCAAGAGGGCGAUGCCGAAACCAACGAGGAGCUCUACGGGCAGUUCACCGAGCUGGCGUCCUCCUGGCCGUGCUCCGGGGGCCUCUCCAGGGCGAAACUGCUCUACCGCCAUGAGAAGGGCUGGUACAGCACCCUGCCUCCGAUGGUCGGCGCGAUGGUCGCCGACGCACGCUUCGCCGCGCGCCCCUCGGACAUCGUCGUCGCCACCAUGCCCAAGUCCGGCACCACGUGGAUGAAGGCGCUCCUCUACUCCACGGUCCACCGGAGGGAGCACACCCCGGGCGGCCCCGGCCACCCGUUCAACUCCCUCGGCCCGCACGACUGCGUCCGCCACCUGGAGUACCAGCUCUACACGCGCAACAGGGUCCCGGACCUCGACGGGCUCCCGGACCCGAGGCUCCUCGCCACGCACGUCCCGCUCGCGUCGCUGCCGAGGUCCGUCGCCGCGUCGGGGUGCCGGAUCGUGUACGUGUGCCGCGACCCCAAGGACACCCUGGUCUCGACGUGGAGCUUCGUGAACAAGUUCAGGGCCGAGGACGGGCUGGAGCCGAUCCCGGUCGAGGCCGCCGCCGGCUACUUCUGCGACGGCGUGUCGGCGUCCGGGCCGUACUGGGACCACGUCCUCGGGUACUGGCGCGCGCACCUGGCGAACCCCGAGCGGGUGCUCUUCUUCCGGUACGAGGAGAUGAGCCGGGACCCUGCGGCACACGUGCGGAGGCUGGCGGAGUUUGUCGGGCGCCCGUUCAGCGCGGAGGAGGAGGAAGACGGCGCGGUGGACGCCGUCGUCAAGCUGUGCUCGUUCGAGCACAUGACCGGGCUCGAAGCGACCAAGAGCGGCAAGACGGAGCUUGUGUUGGGCGCUGUGGAGAACAGCUCGUUCUUCCGGCGCGGCCUGGUCGGGGAUUGGGAGAACCAUCUCUCGCCGGAGACAGCACGAAGGAUUGACGCCAUUACCGAGGCUAAGUUUAGGGGUUUCGGUCUCUCUGUCUAG